This is a non-coding RNA of Pelobates cultripes (western spadefoot toad), 553 nucleotides long. NCBI's taxonomy places the organism in Eukaryota, Metazoa, Chordata, Amphibia, Anura, Pelobatidae. The record is from the annotation of a GenBank genome assembly.
AAUGGGUUAAUCCAGCCUCUAGUGGCUGUCUCUUGACAGCUGCUAGAGGGCUUCCGCGUUUCUCACUGUGAAAAUCACAGUGACAAGACGCCAGCAUCCAUAGGAAAGCAUUGUUAAUGCUUUCCUAUGGACUGGCUGAAUGUGCGCUCGGCUCCUGCCUCGCAUGCGCAUUCAGCUGAAGUGGAGGAGAGCUCCCCGCCCAGCGCUGGAGAAAGAGGUAAGUUUAACCCCUUCCUCUCCCUAGAGCCUGGCGGGAGGGGGACCCUGAGGGUGGGGGCACCCUCAGGGCACUAUAGUGCCAGGAAAACGAGUAUGUUUUCCUGGCACUAUAGUGGUCCUUUAACAGACAGCAUAGCCCCAUGGAGGGGUUAGAUAUUAAUUUCACACAAAUUGUGUCUCAUUUUAACUUUCCUUCGGUGGGUUCUCUCUUUCUCUAGGCCUACAGACAUUAUUCUAAAAUCUGGCAGACUAACUAGUUUGGGUCAAAAUAUAUAUAUUUUAGAAAAUGCGGGUUUCUUUAUAUUGUCUGUUCUAAAUUAAAGAAUUCUAAAAA